This is a long non-coding RNA of Arachis duranensis, 343 nucleotides long. RefSeq lists it as uncharacterized. The record is from RefSeq and is a predicted model, not a curated record. Lineage: Eukaryota; Viridiplantae; Streptophyta; Magnoliopsida; Fabales; Fabaceae. The transcript has 3 exons.
AAAGCUUCCGGCCGCUAUCACAGCUGUUGUCCGGUCAAUUUGGAAGCUGCUACUGUGUCAUUCUCUUCUAUUUAUCGUGAUAUGUGGUUGUCAGAAUUUCUGCGGUUGCUGCUGAUUAACAUGAGAAUAAGGAUUUAAUGGGUUUAAUUAUGCAACUUGCGACUAAUGGAGGUCUUUUCUUUUUCAGGAUAUGGACGACGAAGUUUGGAAGAGUUUUACUUUUGCGUUUACACAAUAUUUUUGUAUUGUUUUUGUGAUGUUUUCCCUCGCCUUUGACCUUUCACAUUUUGUAUGAGGGAUAGGAUCUUGUAUUAUGUAACGCUUGUAAAGUAAUAAUAUAUAU